RNAcentral lists this ribosomal RNA (253 nucleotides) under uncultured bacterium. Its description in RNAcentral is "partial 16S ribosomal RNA". It matches the Rfam family "Bacterial small subunit ribosomal RNA", at positions 524 to 776 of the family's 1533-position model. The record is from RNAcentral.
UACGAAGGGGACUAGCGUUGUUCGGAAUCACUGGGCGUAAAGCGCACGUAGGCGGAUAUGUCAGUCAGGGGUGAAAUCCCGGGGCUCAACCUCGGAACUGCCUUUGAUACAGCAUAUCUUGAGUCCGAUAGAGGUGGGUGGAAUUUCUAGUGUAGAGGUGAAAUUCGUAGAUAUUAGGAAGAACACCGGUGGCGAAGGCGGCCCACUGGAUCGGUACUGACGCUGAGGUGCGAAAGCGUGGGGAGCAAACAGG